UGUAGAGAGAGAUAAGGUUUUCCACAGGCCUCCUUUUCUGCAGGCUAAACACUCCUUGCUCCCUCAGGUCCUCCUCAUCAGACUGUGCUGCAGACCCUCCACGUCCUUCUUGUGAGCAAGGAGCCCAAAACUGAAUACAAAUGCAGCAAAUCAGAGUUAUGUGUGACUCCUUCCAACAACAAAAUCUGAAGGCUGGUUCUUUGCUGUGUAAAUGCAGUAUAUGAUACAUCACCAUCACCCCAGAGUGGGUGUUUACCUACUGCUGCACAGCUCAAUAAAUCUCU
This 284-nucleotide long non-coding RNA is filed under the name Cyanistes caeruleus (blue tit). RNAcentral's name for it is "lncRNA (ENSCCEG00000011762.1)". The record is from RNAcentral. Lineage: Eukaryota; Metazoa; Chordata; Aves; Passeriformes; Paridae.